UACAGAGGUCCCGAGCGUUGUUCGGAUUCAUUGGGCGUAAAGGGUGCGUAGGCGGCGGGGCAAGUCUGAUGUGAAAUCCUGGGGCUCAACCCCGGAACUGCAUUGGAUACUGCCAUGCUAGAGUACUGGAGAGGAGAUUGGAAUUUACGGUGUAGCAGUGAAAUGCGUAGAUAUCGUAAGGAAGACCAGUGGCGAAGGCGAAUCUCUGGACAGUUACUGACGCUGAGGCACGAAGGCCAGGGAGCAAACGGG
Molecule: ribosomal RNA, 252 nt
Filed under: uncultured bacterium
Lineage: Bacteria
Description: partial 16S ribosomal RNA
Rfam family: Bacterial small subunit ribosomal RNA
Source: RNAcentral